Molecule: ribosomal RNA, 489 nt
Filed under: uncultured bacterium
Lineage: Bacteria
Description: partial 16S ribosomal RNA
Rfam family: Bacterial small subunit ribosomal RNA
Source: RNAcentral
UUGAACGCUGGCGGCAUGCCUUACACAUGCAAGUCGAACGGCAUCGCGGGAAAGCUUGCUUUCCUGGCGGCGAGUGGCGAACGGGUGAGUAACACAUCGGAACGUACCGGCUAGUGGGGGAUAAUCCGUCGAAAGACGGGCUAAUACCGCAUACGCUCUUCGGAGGAAAGCAGGGGACCUUUGGGCCUUGCGCUAGCCGAGCGGCCGAUGUCCGAUUAGCUAGUUGGUGGGGUAAAGGCCUACCAAGGCGACGAUCGGUAGCGGGUCUGAGAGGACGAUCCGCCACACUGGGACUGAGACACGGCCCAGACUCCUACGGGAGGCAGCAGUGGGGAAUCUUGGACAAUGGGGGCAACCCUGAUCCAGCAAUGCCGCGUGGGUGAAGAAGGCCUUCGGGUUGUAAAGCCCUUUCGGCAGGGAAGAAAUCGGCGGGGCGAAUAACCCUGCUGGAUGACGGUACCUGCAGAAGAAGCACCGGCUAACUACGUG